AUUGAACGCUGGCGGAAUGCUUUACACAUGCAAGUCGAACGGCAGCACGGGGCAACCUGGUGGCGAGUGGCGAACGGGUGAGUAAUAUAUCGGAACGUGCCCAAUCGUGGGGGAUAACGUAGCGAAAGUUACGCUAAUACCGCAUACGAUCUACGGAUGAAAGCGGGGGAUCGCAAGACCUCGCGCGAAUGGAGCGGCCGAUAUCAGAUUAGGUAGUUGGUGGGGUAAAGGCUCACCAAGCCAACGAUCUGUAGCUGGUCUGAGAGGACGACCAGCCACACUGGAACUGAGACACGGUCCAGACUCCUACGGGAGGCAGCAGUGGGGAAUUUUGGACAAUGGGCGCAAGCCUGAUCCAGCCAUUCCGCGUGCAGGAUGAAGGCCUUCGGGUUGUAAACUGCUUUUGUACGGAACGAAACGGUCUGCCCUAAUACGGCAGGCUAAUGACGGUACCGUAAGAAUAAGCACCGGCUAACUACGUG
RNAcentral lists this ribosomal RNA (482 nucleotides) under uncultured bacterium. Its description in RNAcentral is "bacterial SSU rRNA". It matches the Rfam family "Bacterial small subunit ribosomal RNA", at positions 30 to 507 of the family's 1533-position model. The record is from RNAcentral.